This 283-nucleotide small RNA is filed under the name Marmota monax (woodchuck). Lineage: Eukaryota; Metazoa; Chordata; Mammalia; Rodentia; Sciuridae. The record is from RNAcentral.
UAGCCCAUAUGUUAGUUGAAAAACAGCUUCAAGCUGGUCACUUAGAGCCUACACUCAGCCUUUGAAACACACCCAUCUUUGUAGCUGGGAAAAAAAGGUAAUUGGAAAUUAUUACCAGACCUUAGAGCUAUUAAUUUGGUCAUAGAGCCCAUGGAGGUAUUUCAAUCUGGGCUUCCUUCUCCUUCAGCUAUUCCUUUAGAUUAUAAUUUGAUAGUAAUAGAGCUAAAAAUUGUUUUUUCUCUAUACCUUUGCACUGAGAUGACUGUAAAAAGUUUGCCUUUAG